AGAAGUGAGUUUCCCAUAGACACAGUGUUGGAACCAGGAUCUGAACUUCAACUUUGGUCUCCUUUUCAGAGCACCAGCUACUUUCACCCAGGACAGGAACCUAUCUGGAUGAUGGACCCAGGACCAUAAAUUUGUGUUGGAAUGGUCCUUGGAAGUCAUCUACUUCAACAUCAACAUUUUACAAAAGUGGACACUGAGACCAAGAGAAGUUGGGUGACUUGUCUAAGGUCACACAGAUACUUGGGAGGAGUGAAACACCUCUUUUCUUGAAUUCAGGUAAUUCCAUUUGAUUGCUCUCCUCCCACUCCCCAAUUUGGAAAGUUCCUAAUCUUUUCUCCAGUUAGAAUAUUGUGUCAUUUCCUUGUAAUUAAUUAAGGAUUCAUUUUCUUAGAUGUAUAAAAGUCUGUCUUCUGUGGAAGAGGCAUGAAGAGAGGAAGGUUUUGAAGGAUAAGGCAAGAUGCAAGAGAGUAACCUGGGGACAUGUUUUGUCAAUCAAGACGAAGAUUCUAAAACAGAAUGUUCUCAGGAGUUGCAGUUGAGC
This 541-nucleotide long non-coding RNA is filed under the name Monodelphis domestica (gray short-tailed opossum). Its description in RNAcentral is "lncRNA (ENSMODG00000037871.1)". Lineage: Eukaryota; Metazoa; Chordata; Mammalia; Didelphimorphia; Didelphidae. The record is from RNAcentral.